GGGGGCGUAACGGAUUCGACGGGAUUGUAUCUAGCGUGGGAAGUCGUGCCGGGUUCCGAGCUCCCGUAAAACGAUCGGAAACCUAAAACUGCCAAUCAGCAGUUUGCUUACGCUGCCUAAUCUUUAGGUAGCCGCUCUGGGUCGAUGGGCCUGCACGCGGCCUAAGGGCGUCAUCUUGUAGGAGUAGGUCCAAGGCUUCCGCCUGGAGCCGAAAGCCGGAAUUAAUCGGGCUAAGCCGCUUUCUCUUGCCGGUUCCUGAUGAAGCGGUCGAAAACCACCGAACCGGAAACGCACGUAGCCUUUUCGCGGUAGACUUUCUCGGACGCGGGUUCGACUCCCGCCGCCUCCACCA
Molecule: transfer-messenger RNA, 352 nt
Filed under: Bryobacteraceae
Lineage: Bacteria; Pseudomonadati; Acidobacteriota; Terriglobia; Bryobacterales
Also listed under: 1 other name
Description: Palsa-187 sp019261985 Standard tmRNA
Rfam family: transfer-messenger RNA
About the family: Bacterial tmRNA, also known as 10Sa RNA or SsrA, is named for its dual tRNA and mRNA-like properties.
Source: RNAcentral